Molecule: unclassified non-coding RNA, 312 nt
Filed under: Thanatephorus cucumeris
Lineage: Eukaryota; Fungi; Basidiomycota; Agaricomycetes; Cantharellales; Ceratobasidiaceae
Description: partial internal transcribed spacer region
Rfam family: Eukaryotic small subunit ribosomal RNA (bases 1-46)
Source: RNAcentral
AAGUCGUAACAAGGUUUCCGUAGGUGAACCUGCGGAAGGAUCAUUAUUGAAUUUAUUAAUGAGGAGUUGAGUUGUAGCUGGCCUUUUAACAUUGGCAUGUGCACACUCUUCUCUUUCAUCCACACACCCCUGUGCACUUGUGAGACAGUUAAGGUCCUUUGGGGUUGGGGGGCAGAGCUUUAUUGCAAAACCCUUUUUCCUCUUUGCCUUUGCUGUCUACUCAAUUUAUACACACUCUAAUUGAUUUUAAAACGAAUGUAAUUGAUGUAACGCAUCUAAUACUAAGUUUCAACAACGGAUCUCUUGGCUCUC